This is a long non-coding RNA of Acinonyx jubatus (cheetah), 1888 nucleotides long. RefSeq lists it as uncharacterized. Lineage: Eukaryota; Metazoa; Chordata; Mammalia; Carnivora; Felidae. The record is from RefSeq and is a predicted model, not a curated record. The transcript is spliced from 3 exons.
AAAUGUAAGAAGAAUUAAUUUAUUCUGGUCUUCUCUGCCUCUAUCUUUCUUCUAAAUAUUUUGUUUUUUAAAAUUUAUUUAUUUUGAGAGAGAGAGAGAGCACAUGCCAGCAGAGGAGGAGCCAAGAGAGAAGGAGAGAGAGAGAAUCCCAAGCAGGCUUCAUGCUGUCAGCUCAAAGCCUGACACUGGGUUCAAGUUCACCCAUCAUGGGUUCAUGACCUGAGAUGAGAUUAAGAGCCCCAUGCUUAACGGAACCAAGCCACCCAGGUGCCCUUCUCUUUCAAAUCUUAAAUUUCAAGUUUCUCUGCCAUCUUUCCUUAAACUGCCACCUCUGCCUGGUAAAACUGUAGAUGUUUAACACUCAUGCUGUGGUGAGGUGGGAUCAAAAUUUCCCCAGGAAACAAGGCCGCUAAUAGCCAUUCUUACCCAAUGUGGUGGUAAUUUUUCCAGAAGUAAACACUAUUCAAAGACUUAUCUACUUUUGGUCAUUUUCCAGUGCCCUAAAAAAUUUGUCUUAAAUAAUCCUGUCAUGUUUUAUUCUUUUUUUCUCAGAGAGGGAUCAGCCAACAACAUCAUGCCAUUACUGAAAGUAAACUUUCUGUAAACUAUUGGAUUUUAUAGCACACUUGAAGAAUGAACAGUCUUAAAAGAAAAAUGCUUUGGGAUUUUUGUUCUCAUUAUUUUUGAUUACGUGUGUAAUAAAAAAGCUGAAAAAGAGCACAUUUUAAAGCUCCCACUCAAACAAUUGGAAUUCCCUAGAUGGUAAGAGGAAUCAUGCCAAGGAAAACCCAGGACAGAUUUCAGAGAAGGAUAAACACAGAAGCAGAAAGUCAACCACUUAAGAAAUGCUUCUGUACUGGAGACCAACUUUCCUCUCCAGCCCCUUCGGCGAGUCACUUAACUUUUCUGAAGCUGAGCUCUCUUCUGUAAAACCAAGACAAUAAAGCAAGUCUCUGAAGACCACAAGACCACAAAUCACCUCUGGUGAUUUCUUUAAGCUCAAGCUCAAUGGCAAAGAGGAGUUACUUAAAACAUUUGAUUGUUAAUAUCACCCCUUUUUAAACCAUAUUUUAAAGUCUGGCCCAAUAUUGAUGGUUGAUGUUUCUUCUCAGUUGUCUAUUAAUAUUGUUUCUAUUGUCAAACUUCCCAGUGUGCUCAGUUUUGAUCUCGAAUGCCAGAUACUAUGAAAAAGGGACUAUUUGAAAGGAGGAAGGAUAAUGGUUCUUUUUAGGACUCUGCCAGCAUUCAUAAGAACAACAGUGGGUAAAUUAUUCCAAAAACAAUUUGAAAUAAUUUAAAGAGAUGACAUAUUGAUAUUGAAAACCCAAUACUUCCUUCAAAAAUCACAUGAUAGGAGUGUUUUAUUGACCUGAAUUAGACUACUCAAUAUGUGGUACUAUGCCCUUGGAGGCAAUAGGAAAGGAGAAUCUUUUGUGUAGUAUCAGUUGUUCUCAAUUCUGUGCUCCCGUAUUUAGCUAAGUCAUGAUUUCUGCUUUAAUUAAUUUCUGCCAAGCAGAGAUUAUUGCCACUCAUAUUAUGGCAAUAACACCUGUCAUGACUUAACACCUGUCAACACUGCCGUUCAUCUGAAAAAAAAAGGGGAGUGCUGGAUGCCUAUAUGGCUGACAUACUUCUCUAAUUAUCACAUUUCCUAUUCUAUGGUAGGAUUCAAAUCUCUGUCUUCCCCUUGAAUAAUCAUAAUGUCCAUUCAAAUGAAAAAGGACAAGGGCUCACAUGGUAUAUAUAGGCUCCAAGUUAAAUAUUUAGCAUUCACAUCAAGAUUUACAGAAAGCCUUAAUUACCCUCUAGUAUCCAGGGCAUUCCUAACUUAUGCUUCUGAUAAAUGCUCGAUGCAGGUUUUUGAUAGCCCACUGGUCAAUAAAAGGUU